Molecule: long non-coding RNA, 452 nt
Organism: Peromyscus maniculatus bairdii (prairie deer mouse)
Lineage: Eukaryota; Metazoa; Chordata; Mammalia; Rodentia; Cricetidae
Source: RefSeq, a predicted model, not a curated record
GCCCACCCAGCUUCUUGUGCAACUGCCCCCAUUAUGCAGAUGAGGACCAUUUGAGGCCCAGAAGAGUCAAGUCAUGUGACUUGGUGUACGUGGCUCACUAGCGGCAGAUCUCAGAGGAGAAUUUGACUUUUAAGCCAGAACUUAUUCUAUUUGGUGACUUUUCCCUGGGUUGGAGGAGCCCUGGGCUUUGGCUAGGGACUGAUGAGACAUCCCUCUUCAUAGGCUGGGGUCACUUGUAUGGAGACAAGUAGAGGGGCUAUGGACCUUGCUCACAGACACACAGCAGCAAAUAAUGGAAGUUGGACUCCAAUCCAAAUGCUCGGGUUCCAGACAAUGACAGAGACAGUGAAGUGGAGCAGAUCCCAUCAAGGAAAGACCUUGAAGUUGUCCUCAGAUCUCCCCCAGUGUGCUGUGGUAAGCAACCCCAAUAAAUAAAUGCAAUUUAAAAUAAA